AAAAUGUAUUGGUUUUUUUUUAUCCUUGUGGCUGAUCCGGGGUCAGUUUGUGUUACAGGGCAAAGGUCGAAAAGACACGUCCAUGUUUUCCUCCAUGAUGAUGUCGAAUCUGCACAUCACAGGCCUAAAAAAGAUGGAAAAGACAUUUGUUUAGGGCAGGGGGCGGGUUUGAAGGCUUCGCACUGGAGACAUUUGGCGUCCAGGAAGUCGCUGUAGGACGAGCAGGGAAACGCGGUGAUGGAGCAGGUCUGGUUCAGAGCGCAGAGUCUUUUCCUCUGGUUUGGUCUGGAUUUUGUACCUGUGAUGCGUCCGAUCUUCCCUUUGAGAUUUGAGCCCACAAACCCGGCGAGGUGAGCCCCCAGACUGACCCCGAUCAGGUGGAUGUUGUCCAGAGACGCUCCCUCCUCCUGGAAUUACACAAGAAAAAGUCGACUUUACGUGAUGUGGGGCGUGAGUUUUCUGAGGAUCUCCAUGGGAACGGCGGUGACGAUGACGGAG
Molecule: long non-coding RNA, 498 nt
Organism: Boleophthalmus pectinirostris (great blue-spotted mudskipper)
Lineage: Eukaryota; Metazoa; Chordata; Actinopteri; Gobiiformes; Gobiidae
Exons: 4
Source: RefSeq, a predicted model, not a curated record